This 245-nucleotide ribosomal RNA is filed under the name Codringtonia parnassia. RNAcentral's name for it is "partial large subunit ribosomal RNA". It matches the Rfam family "Bacterial large subunit ribosomal RNA", at positions 2077 to 2610 of the family's 2925-position model. The record is from RNAcentral. Lineage: Eukaryota; Metazoa; Mollusca; Gastropoda; Stylommatophora; Helicidae.
GCAAAUGCUAAUGGAAAUAAAAAAGACGAGAAGACCCUAGAAACUUAAACUACUUUUGCUGGGGCGGCAGAAUUGCAUAUAACCAAUUACUUUACAUGAGCAGCGGUGCUGGAAGAAAAAGUUACUCUAGGGAUAACAGCAUAAUUUAAAUAGUUUGUGACCUCGAUGUUGGACUAGGGAAAUUACGCCUUAGAAGGGCGUGAUAAUAGCUCUGUUCGAGCUUUUAGCCCCUACGUGAUCUGAGU